Amphimedon queenslandica is the source of this 402-nucleotide long non-coding RNA. RefSeq lists it as uncharacterized. The record is from RefSeq and is a predicted model, not a curated record. NCBI's taxonomy places the organism in Eukaryota, Metazoa, Porifera, Demospongiae, Haplosclerida, Niphatidae. The transcript is spliced from 2 exons.
AUUAUUGUUGUUGCAGUGAUUUUGUUCACAUUCUUGUUUGCUGUUGUAACUGUUGGAAUAGUGAUAGUCAUUAUGAAGAAAAAAUUUAACUACGUCAGUGAUACUAGAUCAAAAACUGCUGUAUAUGAUGAUCCUGAUAUAACAUUGAAGGAAGUGAAACCACAAGCAGUUAAUGAUAACGUUAAAAUUGAAUCAACUGAUCCUGUUUCUACUGCUGAUUAUGAAGUUCCUGUCACUGCAAUUACUAAAGAGACUGUUGACAAAGCUAUGCGAUGAAGCUAAAUAAGCAUAAAAAUAAUAAACAUGCAUUAACUAAAAUAGCUACUUACUAUUAAUACUAGACUAGUCUGUUAAUGUUGUUAUGUUUGCUGCUUGUUAGUCAAAACAAAAAUUUUAAAUGAA